RNAcentral lists this ribosomal RNA (1016 nucleotides) under uncultured bacterium. RNAcentral describes it as "bacterial SSU rRNA". It matches the Rfam family "Bacterial small subunit ribosomal RNA", at positions 357 to 1376 of the family's 1533-position model. The record is from RNAcentral.
AGGAAUAUUGGUCAAUGGGCGCGAGCCUGAACCAGCCAAGUAGCGUGAAGGAUGAAGGUCCUACGGAUUGUAAACUUCUUUUAUAAGGGAAUAAAGUCACCCACGUGUGGGUGUUUGUAUGUACCUUAUGAAUAAGCAUCGGCUAACUCCGUGCCAGCAGCCGCGGUAAUACGGAGGAUGCGAGCGUUAUCCGGAUUUAUUGGGUUUAAAGGGAGCGUAGACGGGUCGUUAAGUCAGCUGUGAAAGUUUGAGGCUCAACCGUAAAAUUGCAGUUGAUACUGGCGUCCUUGAGUACGGUUGAGGCAGGCGGAAUUCGUGGUGUAGCGGUGAAAUGCUUAGAUAUCACGAAGAACUCCGAUUGCGAAGGCAGCCUGCUAAGCUGCAACUGACAUUGAGGCUCGAAAGUGUGGGUAUCAAACAGGAUUAGAUACCCUGGUAGUCCACACGGUAAACGAUGAAUACUCGCUGUUUGCGAUAUACUGCAAGCGGCCAAGCGAAAGCGUUAAGUAUUCCACCUGGGGAGUACGCCGGCAACGGUGAAACUCAAAGGAAUUGACGGGGGCCCGCACAAGCGGAGGAACAUGUGGUUUAAUUCGAUGAUACGCGAGGAACCUUACCCGGGCUUAAAUUGCAGAUGAAUUACGGUGAAAGCCGUAAGCCGCAAGGCAUCUGUGAAGGUGCUGCAUGGUUGUCGUCAGCUCGUGCCGUGAGGUGUCGGCUUAAGUGCCAUAACGAGCGCAACCCUUGUUGUCAGUUACUAACAGGUUCCGCUGAGGACUCUGACAAGACUGCCAUCGUAAGAUGUGAGGAAGGUGGGGAUGACGUCAAAUCAGCACGGCCCUUACGUCCGGGGCUACACACGUGUUACAAUGGGGGGUACAGAGGGCCGCUACCACGCGAGUGGAUGCCAAUCCCCAAAACCUCUCUCAGUUCGGACUGGAGUCUGCAACCCGACUCCACGAAGCUGGAUUCGCUAGUAAUCGCGCAUCAGCCACGGCGCGGUGAAUACGUUCCCG